UAGGGAAUCUUCCACAAUGGACGAAAGUCUGAUGGAGCAACGCCGCGUGAGUGAAGAAGGGUUUCGGCUCGUAAAACUCUGUUGUUAAAGAAGAACAUAUCUGAGAGUAACUGUUCAGGUAUUGACGGUAUUUAACCAGAAAGCCACGGUUAACUACGUGCCAG
RNAcentral lists this ribosomal RNA (164 nucleotides) under uncultured bacterium. Its description in RNAcentral is "partial 16S ribosomal RNA". It matches the Rfam family "Bacterial small subunit ribosomal RNA", at positions 355 to 511 of the family's 1533-position model. The record is from RNAcentral.